CUUUAACUCAAUGGUAGAGUAACCGGCUUUUAACCGGUAGGUUGUGGGUUCAAAUCCCAU
Molecule: transfer RNA, 60 nt
Filed under: pig gut metagenome
Rfam family: tRNA
About the family: Transfer RNA (tRNA) molecules are approximately 80 nucleotides in length. Their secondary structure includes four short double-helical elements and three loops (D, anti-codon, and T loops).
Source: RNAcentral